CCCAGACUCCUACGGGAGGCAGCAGUGGGGAAUAUUGCACAAUGGGGGAAACCCUGAUGCAGCGACGCCGCGUGAAGGAAGAAGUAUUUCGGUAUGUAAACUUCUAUCAGCAGGGAAGAAAAUGACGGUACCUGACUAAGAAGCCCCGGCUAACUACGUGCCAGCAGCCGCGGUAAUACGUAGGGGGCAAGCGUUAUCCGGAUUUACUGGGUGUAAAGGGAGCGUAGGCGGUUCAGCAAGUCAGAAGUGAAAGCCCGGGGCUCAACUCCGGGACUGCUCUUGGAACUGCGUGGCUGGAGUGCAGGAGGGGCAGGCGGAAUUCCUGGUGUAGCGGUGAAAUGCGUAGAUAUCAGGAGGAACACCGGUGGCGAAGGCGGCCUGCUGGACUGCAACUGACGUUGAGGCCCGAAAGCGUGGGGAGCAAACAGGAUUAGAUACCCCAGUA
This 445-nucleotide ribosomal RNA is filed under the name uncultured bacterium. RNAcentral's name for it is "bacterial SSU rRNA". It matches the Rfam family "Bacterial small subunit ribosomal RNA", at positions 330 to 792 of the family's 1533-position model. The record is from RNAcentral.